RNAcentral lists this transfer RNA (79 nucleotides) under Planctomycetota bacterium. RNAcentral describes it as "Planctomycetes bacterium (soil metagenome) tRNA-Pro". It matches the Rfam family "tRNA". From Rfam's summary of the family: Transfer RNA (tRNA) molecules are approximately 80 nucleotides in length. Their secondary structure includes four short double-helical elements and three loops (D, anti-codon, and T loops). Further hydrogen bonds mediate the characteristic L-shaped molecular structure. tRNAs have two regions of fundamental functional importance: the anti-codon, which is responsible for specific mRNA codon recognition, and the 3' end, to which the tRNAs corresponding amino acid is attached (by aminoacyl-tRNA synthetases). tRNAs cope with the degeneracy of the genetic code in two manners: having more than one tRNA (with a specific anti-codon) for a particular amino acid; and 'wobble' base-pairing, i.e. permitting non-standard base-pairing at the 3rd anti-codon position. Lineage: Bacteria; Pseudomonadati; Planctomycetota. The record is from RNAcentral.
CGGACCGUAGCUCAGCCUGGAUUAGAGCGCUACCUUGGGGUGGUAGAGGUCGCAAGUUCGAAUCUUGUCGGUCCGACCA